AUUGAACGCUGGCGGCAUGCUUUACACAUGCAAGUCGAACGGUAACAGGCCGCAAGGUGCUGACGAGUGGCGAACGGGUGAGUAAUGCAUCGGAACGUGCCCAGUCGUGGGGGAUAACUACUCGAAAGAGUAGCUAAUACCGCAUACGAUCUAUGGAUGACAGCGGGGGACCGUAAGGUCUCGCGCGAUUGGAGCGGCCGAUGUCGGAUUAGGUCGUUUGUGGGGUAAAGGCUCACCAAGCCAACGAUCUGUAGCUGGUCUGAGAGGACGACCAGCCACACUGGAACUGAGACACGGCCCAGACUCCUACGGGAGGCGGCAGUGGGGAAUGUUGGACAAUGGGCGCAAGCCUGAUCCAGCAAUGCCGCGUGCAGGAAGAAGGCCUUCGGGUUGUAAACUGCUUUUGUACGGAACGAAACGGCUCUGGUUAAUACCCGGGGCUAAUGACGGUACCGGAAGAAUAAGCACCGGCUAACUACGUG
RNAcentral lists this ribosomal RNA (482 nucleotides) under uncultured bacterium. RNAcentral's name for it is "partial 16S ribosomal RNA". It matches the Rfam family "Bacterial small subunit ribosomal RNA", at positions 30 to 507 of the family's 1533-position model. The record is from RNAcentral.